AAUUAAUUUCCAAUUUUUCCUUUUCCCAUAUUCCCUCAUUCCCGUGCCCUACAUCUCAUCGCAGCCUCCAUUGCUAGCGCCACCACUUCCUCACCGUCGGCACCCGACCACCAGCCUUCUUCUGUUUCCUCACGUCUUCUCCACGAGCUUCUCCACCACAUCUACUGUCGCUGGUGCCAUAGUAGCUUUGCUGCCUCGCCUUGUGUUUGGGGUGACUCUGCCCUAGAUCGCCGACCGUGCCCCUUCACGCCGCCACCUGACGUCGGUUUUCCCCUUCUCCUCUCCAUGCUACCGCCGACAACCACGACCUAAAGCUCGAAUCGCCGCACCCUGAUGUCGGUUCCCGAGUGCCGCCUCACGGAGCAGUGCCAUCGUCGAUCUACACGGCCGCCCCUUCCUCCUUCAAUCGGCUAAGUCAGUGCCCUAGCUUCAUCACCGCUCUUCGCCGGAUCCUGGAUUGGGUCCACACCUAGUCGUGCCUUUCAUCACUGAUCUCCUUCAUCUCGAGCCCUAGCUCCCGAUUGUUGCUGCUUCAUCGAUCAGUCACAGCCAGCGCUUGAAUGCAUCUGAUUGGAUUCAAAGGUUGAAGAGGUGGAUAACAAUCGAGGCAUUGCUAACUCUGUGAAUCAGGGAGCAUUUCAGCGGCUGUUUCUUCCUUUGCACAGUUGGUAGCAGCUUCGAGUUCCUUUCAUAGGAUUCCUCUGUUCUGUCUUUAGCCAUCGCAGCCACCUUCAAAUUGGGAGCUUUUGAUCUGCAGUGGUUGUCCUCAUGCAGGAGUUAUUAAGGAUUCGCGUUGGAUGUGAUCUUCUGGAUUUGUUGAAGACGGUUGACACGAUCUACAGUUAAAGGCGGG
Zingiber officinale is the source of this 853-nucleotide long non-coding RNA. RefSeq lists it as uncharacterized. NCBI's taxonomy places the organism in Eukaryota, Viridiplantae, Streptophyta, Magnoliopsida, Zingiberales, Zingiberaceae. The record is from RefSeq and is a predicted model, not a curated record. The transcript has 4 exons.